GCCUGGUUGGCACAGUCGUUAAGCGUCUGCCUUCAGCUCAGGCCGUGAUCCCAGUGUUCUGGGAUCGAGCCCCACAUCAGGCU
Molecule: transfer RNA, 83 nt
Filed under: Ailuropoda melanoleuca (giant panda)
Lineage: Eukaryota; Metazoa; Chordata; Mammalia; Carnivora; Ursidae
Description: tRNA-Sec
Source: RNAcentral